RNAcentral lists this unclassified non-coding RNA (313 nucleotides) under Hevea brasiliensis (rubber tree). The record is from RNAcentral. Lineage: Eukaryota; Viridiplantae; Streptophyta; Magnoliopsida; Malpighiales; Euphorbiaceae.
CGAUGAGAAUGAGUUGCAACAAGCCCUCUCUUCUGGUUACCAGCGGUUUAACAUCAGGACUAUUAGAUUGCUGAUGUUUCUCUUUAAGAAUCCACGCGAUGCUCUGAGAAUCGGUUAGGUUGCAUGCUUUUGGGAUUUCUCCAUUUUCAUUACUUCUGAUAUGGGAUUGGAUAAUUUCUUGUUGCGAAUUUCAAAUGAGUGAUUUUUCGCUAAAUUUUUCCAAUUCAGGGCCAAAUGAAUUUGCUGCAUUAUGGAAUUGUCUUGGCGAAUGGCGUGCAACCUUUGAGAAAUAUGAUAAAGACAGGAGUGGGAA